Molecule: ribosomal RNA, 484 nt
Filed under: uncultured bacterium
Lineage: Bacteria
Description: partial 16S ribosomal RNA
Rfam family: Bacterial small subunit ribosomal RNA
Source: RNAcentral
AUUGAACGCUGGCGGAAUGCUUUACACAUGCAAGUCGAGCGGCAGCGCGGCCUUCGGGCUGGCGGCGAGCGGCGAACGGGUGAGUAAUGCAUCGGAACAUGCCCAGUCGUGGGGGAUAACACUUCGAAAGAAGUGCUAAUACCGCAUACGUCCUGAGGGGGAAAGCGGGGGAUCGCAAGACCUCGCGCGAUUGGAGUGGCCGAUGUCAGAUUAGCUAGUUGGUGGGGUAAAGGCCUACCAAGGCGACGAUCUGUAGCUGGUCUGAGAGGAUGAUCAGCCACACUGGGACUGAGACACGGCCCAGACUCCUACGGGAGGCAGCAGUGGGGAAUUUUGGACAAUGGGGGCAACCCUGAUCCAGCCAUUCCGCGUGAGGGAAGAAGGCCUUCGGGUUGUAAAGCUCUUUCGGCAGGAACGAAACGGUGGGCUCUAACAUAGUCCGCUAAUGACGGUACCUGAAGAAGAAGCACCGGCUAACUACGUG